UUUCCGUAGGUGAACCUGCGGAAGGAUCAUUACUGAAAAAAUUGUAAUAUCUCUUAAGGUAUUGGGAAUUGGAGGAGCCACCUGCGGCUUCUCCUACGACCAACCUUCACACCCCUUGUGUAUCCACCACGUUGCUUUGGCGGGCCGACCCGGUUUCGACCCGGGCGGCCGGCGUCCCCGGCCUGUUCUUCCAGGCCAGGAUGCCCGGCCAAGUGCCCGCCAGUAUACAAAACUCCGGCGAUUAUCUCGUGUAGUCCUGAGAAUUUAUUCAAUGAAUUAAAACUUUCAACAACGGAUCUCUUGGUUCUGGCAUCGAUGAAGAACGCAGC
Molecule: unclassified non-coding RNA, 329 nt
Filed under: uncultured fungus
Lineage: Eukaryota; Fungi
Description: sequence contains ITS1, 5.8S rRNA gene
Rfam family: 5.8S ribosomal RNA (bases 281-329)
Source: RNAcentral